GGGUAGCAGUCGAUAGGAAAUGGUCAAAAACUGACUUUUAAUCAGUAGGUCGCUGGUUCGAACCCAGCAGGGCUCACCA
This 79-nucleotide transfer RNA is filed under the name Pontixanthobacter aquaemixtae. RNAcentral describes it as "Altererythrobacter aquaemixtae tRNA-Ser". Lineage: Bacteria; Pseudomonadati; Pseudomonadota; Alphaproteobacteria; Sphingomonadales; Erythrobacteraceae. The record is from RNAcentral.